UGAAAUGUAGCUCAGUUGGCAAAAGCACAAGACUCUUAGUCUCAGGGUUGGGGGUUCGAGCCCCACUAUUCUCAG
Non-coding RNA from Podarcis lilfordi (Lilford's wall lizard), 75 nucleotides. NCBI's taxonomy places the organism in Eukaryota, Metazoa, Chordata, Lepidosauria, Squamata, Lacertidae. The record is from the annotation of a GenBank genome assembly.